This is a long non-coding RNA of Lates calcarifer (barramundi perch), 1220 nucleotides long. RefSeq lists it as uncharacterized. The transcript has 5 exons. The record is from RefSeq and is a predicted model, not a curated record. NCBI's taxonomy places the organism in Eukaryota, Metazoa, Chordata, Actinopteri, Centropomidae.
CUCUCUGUUUCUCUUUUGUCCACAUUAAAAUUUAACCCAGUUUUCUAUUGUAGCCUACAUCCAAGGCAGGCAGAUAUGAGGGGGCAGUCAGAAAUGUGAAGGGAGCAUCGCUGGUACACAUCGUGCUACAGCAGCAAUUUUCUGGGGGAGUAUUUUACACAUAUUUUAUGGAGGGCAUUUUUGUCUAUGACAGUGUUUUCUCCAUGGAAUUGGGUUAUUAGCUCAAACCAACAACCAGGAGAAGUGGAUUGCACUUUGUCAGGCCUCUACCCUACAACCUGUCCAGCUUGGAUGUCCCACCUGGUCACCUUUAUAUAUAGUCUAUGGUACUGACGCUGCUUCUGGUGCAUGACUGUUUUUCAGCCAAUGUUAGCUGACGUAUGUGCGACGUGGCUCGUCAUUGGCUAAUACAUUCUGGGAGGAGCGUAGAGAGACGGAGAAAACCAAGCUGGAACCAGUGCUUCGGUUUGUCAGUACUGACAGAAGACGUCCUUUAUCGAAGAGGUCUGAUUGCUAAAACAAACUUUGGGGCUGCUUUUUUGUCCAACACGAGUGAGACUGGACGCUGAACACACAUGCGGCGCAAAGGUUUACUUGUUCAGCUGCUGCAGCCUGGACAGACACACCAGCUCUCACCUUACAAACCAAACAGGUGUCACCACUUGGUUCACAAUCACAGAGACUUCAUCCACGAACACAGAGUGUUUUUGUACGAUGAAGAAGUUCUUUGAAAUCGGGACUGAGGCCUCUAGGAUUCAAACUUCAACCAUUAUAUCACAGAGAGAAGAGACAGACAUGAAGAUGUUUCAGGUGUUCAGUGGCUGUCGUCUUCUCCUCCUGCAGAGACAAGAACACGUAUGAAUUACAGAAACUGAUAAGUAAAGCAAAAUAUUUGUAACAUACUAUUCUGAUGUUUUUAUGCCUCACCAUAUUGAGACAUUUUUUGACACCUUGGUAUACUAUGACAUGUCACUUAAGAAAAAUUUUAAAAGGAGCUUUCUUUGUUUUUCACAGACACACAUCUCUAAACAGUGUUUGUGGGUUAGAUUAGAUUUCCAUUUUGCUAUUUCAAAGUACUCAUAUCCAAUCUAUUACUAUGUACAUGUUUAUAUUGUUGUUUUAUAUCUUGUCUUGGUGCCUUUUUGUAUUUUUGCUACUGCAACACUGAAUUUCCCUGCUGUGGGACUGAUAAAGGAUUUUCUUAAAAUAAAUACUUCUAA